This 289-nucleotide ribosomal RNA is filed under the name Strongyloides stercoralis. RNAcentral's name for it is "partial 18S rRNA". It matches the Rfam family "Eukaryotic small subunit ribosomal RNA", at positions 1168 to 1467 of the family's 1831-position model. Lineage: Eukaryota; Metazoa; Nematoda; Chromadorea; Rhabditida; Strongyloididae. The record is from RNAcentral.
CACCAGGAGUGGAGCCUGCGGCUUAAUUUGACUCAACACGGGAAAACUCACCCGGGCCGGACACUAUAAGGAUUGACAGAUUGAUAGCUCUUUCAUGAUUUAGUGGUUGGUGGUGCAUGGCCGUUCUUAGUUCGUGGAUAUGAUUUGUCUGGUUGAUUCCGAUAACGAGCGAGACUUUUAUGUUAUAUUAAAUAUUAUUAUUUUGUUUAUUUUAAUAUAAAUAAUUAAUAUUUUAAUAACAGAUUAAUAGUGUUUAACUAUUUGAGAGAGAGCGAUAACAGGUCUGUGA